GAAAACUUUUGGCAGCACUUAAUGAGCUUAUUAUUAGACUAUUUUAAAUGCUACCACAUUAAUGCCCCGAGGCUGAUUCUGUGUUUGCUCUCACUCUUUCCAUAUCAUGUUAAUAUCAUAGAGGUAGGAAGUUACAAGCAUACAGAAGCAGUACAUUAGAAGUAGCAGUUCACAAACUUUUUUUGGAGGAUACACUGGAGGAUAAAGACUGUGCUGAUUCACUGCCAAGUAUGGAGUACCAAGCAUGUAGUGAAGGAAACAUCUGCAGGCCCAUUGGAGCUCCGGGUUGGAUUACUAUUUCUGGAGCCAGCUGUGACUUUCACCAGAUUUUAAAAUGAUCCCUGGAUGGGUCUACAAUUAAUGGAGAGAAGAGCAAACCACAUCCAGUGCUGUCACUUAAUGAAGUGGACAAAUCAAAGGUAUCUUUUAAGGAGAAGGCUGAUCAUACCAUUAAGGACAAUCAACUUGCCUGGAACACUCAUUGCUCUUGUUUAACUCAAUCACCACAGCAGUCCUUUAUUAUCUAAAAUAUUAUCCAAAUACAUAGUGAAGGUAUAAUUCACUUCUGGCAUACUGAUUGGGUUUACCUGAGUCAGAACAAUGUGAUUGAGGCUUACCCUGAGUUUGUCCUGACCUACCUAGAGGAACUAAAUGAAAGAGGAGGUGACCCAGACAGAAAACCGCAUUCACCAUGGGGCCUGAUCUGCAGCUCAUCAGGAGAUAGACAGCAGCUCAGCAGAAGAGAUUCUGCAAAAAAAUGUCAGCAACCCCAAUCAGAAACAACUUUCAGGACCUUUGGACGCCCAUUUAAUGCCUGCAGAUCCCCUAGGGGAGACUACACAGCUGACAGUGGCACUGGUGAGGAAACUAGAAGAGAAACAUCCUAAGGCCUCAGCUCAAAGUGCAUCCUAACUAGUUCAAAACUAGUUCAUAUGAAGUUAAAGAUGGGCACAGAGCAUAUGAUAUCAAUCAUUGGUCAUGACUGACAUGUGAAAACUCUCCAGCUGCUAACUGGAAGACCGUUCUGUGGUAAGGAUAAUUAAAUAUGCUAUGAUAGGCUUAAUAAAUCAAGUUAAUGUGGGGAAAGUAAAUUACUG
This 1097-nucleotide long non-coding RNA is filed under the name Anser brachyrhynchus (Pink-footed goose). Its description in RNAcentral is "lncRNA (ENSABRG00000017985.1)". The record is from RNAcentral. Lineage: Eukaryota; Metazoa; Chordata; Aves; Anseriformes; Anatidae.